RNAcentral lists this ribosomal RNA (404 nucleotides) under uncultured bacterium. RNAcentral's name for it is "bacterial SSU rRNA". It matches the Rfam family "Bacterial small subunit ribosomal RNA", at positions 29 to 419 of the family's 1533-position model. The record is from RNAcentral.
AGCGAACGUUAGCGGCGGGCUUAACACAUGCAAGUCGAACGCGAAAGGGCCUCGGCCCCGGUAGCGUGGCGUCCGGGUGAGUAACACGUAGGAAACCUUCCCUCGAGCGGGGGAUAACGUCCCGAAAGGGACGCUAAUACCGCAUAAGCUCCCAGCGACUCCGGUCGCAGAGAGAAAAGAUGGCCUCUGUAUACAAGCUAUCACUUGAGGAUGGUCCUGCGGCGCAUCAGCUAGNGGUGGGGUAACGGCCCACCAAGGCGUAGACGCGUAGCUGGUCUGAGAGGAUGAUCAGCCACACUGGCACUGAAACACGGGCCAGACUCCUACGGGAGGCAGCAGUGGGGAAUAUUGGUCAAUGGGCGCAAGCCUGAACCAGCCACGCCGCGUGAGUGAUGAAGGCCUUC